AGAGUUUGAUCAUGGCUCAGAACGAACGCUGGCGGCAGGCCUAACACAUGCAAGUCGAACGCUGUAGCAAUACAGAGUGGCAGACGGGUGAGUAACGCGUGGGAACGUGCCCUUUCGGUUCGGAAUAACUCAGGGAAACUUGAGCUAAUACCGGGUACGUGCGAGAGCAGAAAGAUUUAUCGCCGAAGGAUCGGCCCGCGUCCGAUUAGCUAGUUGGUGAGGUAACGGCUCACCAAGGCGACGAUCGGUAGCUGGUCUGAGAGGAUGAUCAGCCACACUGGGACUGAGACACGGCCCAGACUCCUACGGGAGGCAGCAGUGGGGAAUAUUGGACAAUGGGCGCAAGCCUGAUCCAGCCAUGCCGCGUGAGUGAUGAAGGCCCUAGGGUUGUAAAGCUCUUUCGCCAGGGACGAUAAUGACGGUACCUGGAUAAGAAGCCCCGGCUAACUUCGUGCCAGCAGCCGCGGUAAUACGAAGGGGGCUAGCGUUGUUCGGAAUCACUGGGCGUAAAGCGCACGUAGGCGGAUCUUUAAGUCAGGGGUGAAAUCCCGAGGCUCAACCUCGGAACUGCCUUUGAUACUGGAGGUCUCGAGUCCGGGAGAGGUGAGUGGAACUGCGAGUGUAGAGGUGAAAUUCGUAGAUAUUCGCAAGAACACCAGUGGCGAAGGCGGCUCACUGGCCCGGUACUGGCGCUGAGGUGCGAAAGCGUGGGGAGCGAACAGGAUUAGAUACCCUGGUAGUCCACGCCGUAAACGAUGGAUGCUAGCCGUUGGGGAGCUUGCUCUUCAGUGGCGCAGCUAACGCUUUAAGCAUCCCGCCUGGGGAGUACGGUCGCAAGAUUAAAACUCAAAUGAAUUGACGG
Molecule: ribosomal RNA, 862 nt
Filed under: uncultured bacterium
Lineage: Bacteria
Description: SSU rRNA
Rfam family: Bacterial small subunit ribosomal RNA
Source: RNAcentral